GACGAACGUUGGCGGCGUGCUUAUCACAUGCAAGUCGAACGGAAAGGCCCUUCGGGGUUCUUGAGUGGCGAACGGGUGAGUAACACGUGGGUGAUCUGCCCCGCACUUUGGGAUAAGCCUGGGAUACUGGGUCUAAUACCGAAUAGGACCACGCGCUUCAUGGUGUGUGGUGGUAAGCUUUUGCGGUGUGGGAUGGGCCCGCGGCCUAUCAGCUUGUUGGUGGGGUAAUUGCUUACCAAGGCGACGACGGGUAGCCGGCAUGAGAGGGUGACCGGCCACACUGGGACUGAGAUACGACCCAGACGCCUACGGGAGGCAGAAGUGGGAAAUAGUGCACAAUGAGCGCAAGCCUGAUGCAGCGGCGCCGCGUGAGGGAUGACGGCCUUCGGGUUGUAAACCUCUUUCAAAAGGGACGAAGCGCAAGUGACGGUACCUAUAGAAGAAGCACCGGCCAACUAGGUG
RNAcentral lists this ribosomal RNA (462 nucleotides) under uncultured bacterium. RNAcentral describes it as "partial 16S ribosomal RNA". It matches the Rfam family "Bacterial small subunit ribosomal RNA", at positions 28 to 507 of the family's 1533-position model. The record is from RNAcentral.